Molecule: RNA transcript, 675 nt
Organism: Asparagus officinalis (garden asparagus)
Lineage: Eukaryota; Viridiplantae; Streptophyta; Magnoliopsida; Asparagales; Asparagaceae
Gene name: thioredoxin-like 1-1, chloroplastic
Exons: 4
Source: RefSeq, a predicted model, not a curated record
UCAGAUGCUUUAGUUUGCAAGAAUGAGUUCAAAGGAAACCAACUUGUGCUUAAACAACAGAACGGUUUAGGGAGAUGGAUUCCCAAGGAAAGCCAUUCUCCUUUCUCUAUUAAUGCUUAAACCUGUGUCCCUAGAGCUAUGAGGUGGUGGGAGAAAACAAGCAAGCCAAACAUGACAGAGAUCAAAUCUACACAACAUCUUGUUGAUUCAUUGUUAGAUGCUGGAGAUAAUCUUGUUAUAGUUGAUUUUUACUCCCCUGGAUGUGGAGGUUGUAAAGCUUUGCAUCCAAAGAUUCUAUGGAGGGGCUCGAAGCCGUGUCUCAAGCUUCAGUUGUACUAAUGCAACGAUAAAGAAAUUUAAGGAUGCUCUAGGUAAGCAUGGAGCAGAGGGAUGCAGUCUUGGACCAGCAAAAGGAUUUGAAGAAUCAGAAUUGUUGAGUUUAGCUUCAAACAAAGGAAGCAAUUUCAGUUACCCAUUGAGAUCUUUGCUGCCUGGAGAUUUUAGCUUUUAUUCAGAUUUUGAGGGAAGAACUGAUAUGGCGAUGGCAAGCCUGCAUUGAUCUAUCAGUUUCUUGUUAGGAGUGUACAUAAUUCUAUAUUUGAGGCUUUGUGUUUUUCUGUGAGAGCCCCAGUUUCAAUAAAUUGUGUUCAGGUUGUGUUGAUUAAAUGAAAGAGA